AUUGAACGCUGGCGGCAUGCCUAACACAUGCAAGUCGAGCGGACGAAGGGAGCUGGCUCCUGGAUUCAGCGGCGGACGGGGGAGUAAUGCCUAGGAAUCUGCCGGGUUGUGGGGGAUAACGUCCGGAAACGGGCGCUAAUACCGCAUACGGCCUGAGGGAGGAAGUGGGGGAUCUUCGGACCGCACGCUAGCAGAGGAGCCUAGGUCGGAUUAGCUAGUUGGUGGGGUAAAGGCCUACCAAGGCGACGAUCCGUAACUGGUCUGAGAGGAUGAUCAGUCACACUGGAACUGAGACACGGUCCAGCCUCCUACGGGAGGCAGCAGUGGGGAAUAUUGGACAAUGGGCGAAAGCCUGAUCCAGCCAUGCCGCGUGUGUGAAGAAGGUCUUCGGAUUGUAAAGCACUUUAAGUUGGGAGGAAGGGCAGUAAGUUAAUACCUUGCUGUUUUGACGUUACCAACAGAAUAAGCACCGGCUAACUUCGUG
This 484-nucleotide ribosomal RNA is filed under the name uncultured bacterium. RNAcentral's name for it is "partial 16S ribosomal RNA". It matches the Rfam family "Bacterial small subunit ribosomal RNA", at positions 30 to 507 of the family's 1533-position model. The record is from RNAcentral.